Molecule: non-coding RNA, 71 nt
Organism: Mesocricetus auratus (golden hamster)
Lineage: Eukaryota; Metazoa; Chordata; Mammalia; Rodentia; Cricetidae
Source: Rfam
GGGAGCAUGGCUCAGUAGGUAAAGCGCUUACCUUACAAACAUGUGAACCUGAGAUCAACUCAGGGCACCCA